RNAcentral lists this transfer RNA (87 nucleotides) under Schumannella soli. RNAcentral describes it as "Schumannella sp. 10F1D-1 tRNA-Leu". It matches the Rfam family "tRNA". Rfam says of the family: Transfer RNA (tRNA) molecules are approximately 80 nucleotides in length. Their secondary structure includes four short double-helical elements and three loops (D, anti-codon, and T loops). Lineage: Bacteria; Bacillati; Actinomycetota; Actinomycetes; Micrococcales; Microbacteriaceae. The record is from RNAcentral.
GCCGGAUUGGCGGAAUUGGCAGACGCGGGGCACUCAAAAUGCUCUGUCCGUGAGGGCUUAAGGGUUCGAGUCCCUUAUCCGGCACCC